This 166-nucleotide long non-coding RNA is filed under the name Meleagris gallopavo (turkey). RNAcentral describes it as "lncRNA (ENSMGAG00000018840.1)". The record is from RNAcentral. Lineage: Eukaryota; Metazoa; Chordata; Aves; Galliformes; Phasianidae.
CUAUGAUUCCAUAAUGUGCCACCUACAUCAAGGCAUAAAGGAUCUCUGCACAGGUGUAACUCAAGCAGUGUCCCUGCUCAAAGAGCAAUCCUAUCGUGCAACCAAGUGUCAUGCAGGGAGAACUCAAGAGACUCUUACUCUACUCACUAUUUAUGAGAUUUCCUAG